This 327-nucleotide ribosomal RNA is filed under the name uncultured eukaryote. RNAcentral's name for it is "partial 18S ribosomal RNA". It matches the Rfam family "Eukaryotic small subunit ribosomal RNA", at positions 1470 to 1796 of the family's 1831-position model. The record is from RNAcentral.
CCCUUAGAUGUUCUGGGUCGCACGCGCGCUACACUGAUGCAUGCAACAAGUCUUUUCCUUGGCCGAGAGGCCUGGGCAAUCUUUGAAUAUGCAUCGUGAUGGGGAUAGACGAUUGCAAUUAUUCGUCUUCAACGAGGAAUUCCUAGUAAACGCAAGUCAUCAGCUUGCAUUGAUUACGUCCCUGCCCUUUGUACACACCGCCCGUCGCACCUACCGAUUGAAUGGUCCGGUGAAGGCUUCGGAGGCGGCUUUCUCAAUGUUUAUUCGGCGAGACUGCUGCCAAAGUUGAAUGAACCUUACCAUUUAGAGGAAGGUGAAGUCGUAACA